GCCUGGGUGGCUCAGUCGGUUGAGCCUCCGACUUCAGCUCAGGUCAUGAUCUCGGAGUUCGUGGGUUCGAGCCCCGCCUCGGGCU
RNAcentral lists this transfer RNA (85 nucleotides) under Felis catus (domestic cat). It matches the Rfam family "tRNA". From Rfam's summary of the family: Transfer RNA (tRNA) molecules are approximately 80 nucleotides in length. Their secondary structure includes four short double-helical elements and three loops (D, anti-codon, and T loops). Further hydrogen bonds mediate the characteristic L-shaped molecular structure. tRNAs have two regions of fundamental functional importance: the anti-codon, which is responsible for specific mRNA codon recognition, and the 3' end, to which the tRNAs corresponding amino acid is attached (by aminoacyl-tRNA synthetases). tRNAs cope with the degeneracy of the genetic code in two manners: having more than one tRNA (with a specific anti-codon) for a particular amino acid; and 'wobble' base-pairing, i.e. permitting non-standard base-pairing at the 3rd anti-codon position. The record is from Rfam by way of RNAcentral. Lineage: Eukaryota; Metazoa; Chordata; Mammalia; Carnivora; Felidae.